Myzus persicae (green peach aphid) is the source of this 1333-nucleotide long non-coding RNA. RefSeq lists it as uncharacterized. The transcript is spliced from 2 exons. Lineage: Eukaryota; Metazoa; Arthropoda; Insecta; Hemiptera; Aphididae. The record is from RefSeq and is a predicted model, not a curated record.
UUUAACUAACAUUAAAUCGUCUACAUUACUUAAGAGUUAAAACUUAUGAUAACAUUUAAUUUUAUAGAAAUUGGCUACCGAAACUUACCACAAAUAACACCUGAGAGCAUAAUUGAAAAAUAACAGAUUUAUUCAUUUCAUUUUUACAAUUUUUUAUUUUUGAUGGUCUUAAAAUAUUUGGUUGUGAAAAACCAACAAAGUUAAUCAAGUUUUUCGAUGGUAUUAAUGUAUUCGGCCUUUAUUUUUAUUUUUAAUAUGUUUAUCCAACAAUUCGAAAAACUAUUGGAACUUGAAAUUAAUUAUUCCUAAUUUCCAUCAGUUGUCCACCUGUCCAGCCUCGUGGGGAAUAUACCUAAGUACUAAGGUUGUCCGGAUUGUCAUCGAUUAGCAGCCACUAUUCACUACAUACUCUGUGAUGCGACGUAAUUGGGUGUUAUGAAGAUUGGUAACACUGCGUCCACCAUUGUGUGGCGUGACGCGUCAACGCGUCGUUUGUGUUCGGCGUCACUCCCUCUCAACUAUAUAGAAUGUGUGGAUUGUUGGCCACUUGGCCCGUGGCCGGCGUUGGCCGCUGGGUGGCUUAGUUUAAUAUGGUCAAACUCAAAUAGUUAAAUUAUAAUUACUAACCACUGGUGACUGGUCGGUUCGCUGAGAGAGUAACGUGAUCCCAUGCCAUUCUGUUAAUGUUACCAACUGCACGACCAGUCACGUUUUCGCUUCAGAUAUUUUAUCCAGUCGCAUCGGUAUUUGAGAAAUUACUACAUCUAUGUUGUACAUGAAUUCAAUUUCAGUAAGUACUUAGUGACUUCAUCAUUGUUAAUACUUCGUAUUAUUCUCCACAGUCGAAAUCAACGCACGCCAGAAUUGAUAUUGAUGGACCUAUAAUGCACGGAGAAGAGGAAUGUAAAUGAUAUUAGUCUGGAUCUGGUGUGGUCUGUGAAAGCCAGUUUUGCAUUGAGACUCACAAACUGCUACUAAAGGUACUACCAUCAACGCUCUAAGUUGCCCUUAUUAACCUUAUGUGAGUACAUACUGCAAUCAAACAAGAAGAAUUUAUUUGUGCCAACCAUUCUAUGGGUAUUGUGGAGUUGUCAAACAAGAAUAGGUUGUUAUAUCUACUUACCAUGUUUGUAUUAUUGUCAUUCAAACUAUAUUAUUUGAUUUUACUUUUAAAAUUAAAAAAACAAUUAUAACAUUGUGAUGAAAAACUUAUAAAGUACCUAUUGUAAUAAUUAUUUAUUUAACUAUAAGAAAGUUGAAAGUACUCACCUAGGUAUAAGAUGAUUAUAAAUUGUUUUAUUGUAAGAUUUGAAUACUAAAAAAUAUAAAUUCA